Molecule: ribosomal RNA, 491 nt
Filed under: uncultured bacterium
Lineage: Bacteria
Description: partial 16S ribosomal RNA
Rfam family: Bacterial small subunit ribosomal RNA
Source: RNAcentral
AGUGAACGCUGGCGGUAGGCCUAACACAUGCAAGUCGAACGGCAGCACAGUAAGAGCUUGCUCUUACGGGUGGCGAGUGGCGGACGGGUGAGGAAUACAUCGGAAUCUACUUUUUCGUGGGGGAUAACGUAGGGAAACUUACGCUAAUACCGCAUACGACCUACGGGUGAAAGCAGGGGAUCUUCGGACCUUGCGCGAUUGAAUGAGCCGAUGUCGGAUUAGCUAGUUGGCGGGGUAAAGGCCCACCAAGGCGACGAUCCGUAGCUGGUCUGAGAGGAUGAUCAGCCACACUGGAACUGAGACACGGUCCAGACUCCUACGGGAGGCAGCAGUGGGGAAUAUUGGACAAUGGGCGCAAGCCUGAUCCAGCCAUACCGCGUGGGUGAAGAAGGCCUUCGGGUUGUAAAGCCCUUUUGUUGGGUAAGAAAAGCAGCAGGUUAAUACCCCGCUGUUCUGACGGUACCCAAAGAAUAAGCACCGGCUAACUUCGU